Molecule: non-coding RNA, 24 nt
Filed under: Mus musculus (house mouse)
Lineage: Eukaryota; Metazoa; Chordata; Mammalia; Rodentia; Muridae
Source: RNAcentral
GGCUCGAGGGGUAUGAACCUCUGC